This 447-nucleotide ribosomal RNA is filed under the name uncultured bacterium. Its description in RNAcentral is "partial 16S ribosomal RNA". It matches the Rfam family "Bacterial small subunit ribosomal RNA", at positions 29 to 523 of the family's 1533-position model. The record is from RNAcentral.
AGCGAACGCUGGCGGCAGGCCUAACACAUGCAAGUCGAACGAUCCACCGGGAUAGUGGCGGACGGGUGAGUAACACGUGGGAACGUGCCCGUUGGUUUGGAACAACUCAGGGAAACUUGAGCUAAUACCGAAUGUGACCUUCGGGGGAAAGAUUUAUCGCCAUUGGGGCGGCCCGCGGCUGAUUAGCUAGUUGGUGAGGUAAUGGCUCACCAGGGCGACGAUCAGUAGCUGGUCUGAGAGGAUGAUCAGCCACACUGGGACUGAGACAAGGCGCAGACUCCUACGAGAGGCAGCAGUGGUGAAGCUUGCGCAAUGGGCGAAAGCCUGACGCAGCCAUGCCGCGUAAAUGAUGAAGGACUUAGGAUUGUAAAAUUCUUUCACCGGGGACGAUAAUGACGGUACCCGGAGAAGAAGCUCCGGCUAACUUCGUGCCAGCAGCCGCCGCCG